RNAcentral lists this ribosomal RNA (706 nucleotides) under uncultured Bacteroidota bacterium. RNAcentral describes it as "bacterial SSU rRNA". It matches the Rfam family "Bacterial small subunit ribosomal RNA", at positions 568 to 1276 of the family's 1533-position model. The record is from RNAcentral. Lineage: Bacteria; Pseudomonadati; Bacteroidota.
UGCGUAGGCGGAAUGGUAAGUUAGUGGUGAAAUCCCCCGGCUCAACCGGGGAACUGCCAUUAAUACUGCCGUUCUUGAGUAUAGUUGAAGUGGGCGGAAUGUAUCAUGUAGCGGUGAAAUGCUUAGAUAUGAUACAGAACACCGAUAGCGUAGGCAGCUCACUAAACUAUAACUGACGCUCAGGCACGAAAGCGUGGGGAGCAAACAGGAUUAGAUACCCUGGUAGUCCACGCCGUAAACGAUGAUCACUCGCUGUUGGCGAUACACAGUCAGCGGUAAAGGGAAACCAUUAAGUGAUCCACCUGGGGAGUACGGUCGCAAGAUUGAAACUCAAAGGAAUUGACGGGGGCCCGCACAAGCGGAGGAGCAUGUGGUUUAAUUCGAUGAUAUGCGAGGAACCUUACCUGGGCUUAAAUGUAAGACGACAGUCCCCGAAAGGGGACCUUCCUUCGGGACGUCCUACAAGGUGCUGCAUGGUUGUCGUCAGCUCGUGCCGUGAGGUGACGGGUUAAGUCCCAUAACGAGCGCAACCCCUAUCCUUAGUUGCCAUGAGGUAAUGCUGGGGACUCUGAGGAAACUGCCUACGCAAGUAGCGAGGAAGGUGGGGAUGACGUCAAAUCAGCACGGCCCUUAUGUCCAGGGGCUACACACGUGCUACAAUGGCCGGUACAGAGGGCAGCUACCUGGUGACAGGAUGCUAAUCUCG